Long non-coding RNA from Capsicum annuum, 1138 nucleotides. RefSeq lists it as uncharacterized. The transcript has 2 exons. Lineage: Eukaryota; Viridiplantae; Streptophyta; Magnoliopsida; Solanales; Solanaceae. The record is from RefSeq and is a predicted model, not a curated record.
GCUAAAAUGAUUAUUCCCUGUUGGAUUACGAUUUAAUUUAGCUAAAAUUAUUAAAUUUGUCCAUAAUUAAAAAUCAAAGUGAUGAUAAUUGCAAUGUAAUUGACCAAUUAAUUUUUAAUUUGACCAAAAAUUGAAUGGCUAAAAUCUAAAUCCUAAUCUAAUAGACCAUUUUAUAAAUGGCCUAAAAUUCAUUCCUAAUCUAACACCCCAGCGACCCACUCCAACAGGCGAUCCGGCCCAACAACAACAACUUUAGCCGCCCCAGCCCAAACCUCUAAUGACCCGACCCACUUCUCUUCUUCAACAAAACAAAAACGGACCUAAUUUCCCUCAGCCAUACCACGAUAACAACAGUCCAAGCGUACAGAGAAACAACGUACGACAACUUCAGCAAAAUCAAUGUCGAACAACGCUCAAACCACUGGAUAAUGAAAAAAUUGGUGGUCUUUCACCUCUCCCCUCAUCGGUUUGAAAAAUUUGGUGGUUUUUCACCUCUCCCCUCAUCGGUUUUCUCCCUUCACCCGCGAUUUUCAGUCCGUUUCCAUCAAAUAUCACCUCCAUCCCUUUCUGAAAAGGAGAAAACAUGGAGGUUCAAUGGUUCUUGAAGUAUUGUCUCUUUGAAUCUGUGGACAAAUAGUUGUUCAUCUGGAAGAACCGAAAUUAUCAAAAUCAAAUCUCCCAAAUCUCAAUCUUUAAAAAUCCCUUCUGAAAAGUCGAAGUCUCUGGUGAAAUCGCUCUCCAACUUAUCGUCUUAGUUCGCUGCUCCCGAAAAGGUAACACUCCUUUUACUUUGUCCUAAUUCAGCUAUGCAUUUGAUAUCCACUUUUAUGAGUUUGAGUGAAAUUUGAUGUGCCUAGAUUAGCUUUACAAUAUUCUAUGUUUACUGGCGAUCUUUCGGUCACUAUGUAUAGAUUAUGAUCCAACAGAGAGUAAAAACUUGAAUUUUUAUAAUAGAAAAAAACGUGUAUUCCUUUCUUGUGAAAAUUCCAAUCACGUAACCCGGUGGCUUUUCUUGUUAUGGCAUGGAGCAGGGAUUCUUAUUGUGUUAUAUUUGACUAUGUUUCUCCUUAUGUGUUUAAGCUGGGUUCUCUUUUUUUUCAAAAAAAAAAUAAAAUCUUUUCUUUGCUCUGCCUUUUGG